Molecule: ribosomal RNA, 951 nt
Filed under: Triticum aestivum (bread wheat)
Lineage: Eukaryota; Viridiplantae; Streptophyta; Magnoliopsida; Poales; Poaceae
Description: partial small subunit ribosomal RNA
Source: RNAcentral
AUGGAGCUAGGCCUCGCGCUCCGGCUAGCCGCGCCGCCGGCGCGCCUCCCCCGCCGCCGGUAUUCAACACCGCCGUGCGCGCCAGGACGGAGCGGUAUCUGCGCUGGGAGGCGCGAGAGUAGGGGGGCGGGGGCUGUGUCGACGAGUGGGGGUGUGAGCUAUGCGGUGGUUGAAGAUGAGGAGGGGGAGGAGGAGGAGAUGGCGAGGCCGCGGCUGGAGCUCAUCGAGAAGCCGGACCGGAGCCUGGCGCUGCUGGACGAGUACGAGUCGGAGGAGCUGGGGGCGGCGCUCUGCGCCAACCACCGCAGCGGUUAUGUUGCUGUGUUGGGGAAGCCGAAUGUCGGCAAGAGCACCCUGAUAAACCAAAUUGUGGGUCAGAAGCUUUCGAUCGUAACGGACAAGCCACAGACCACACGUCACCGCAUUCUUGGUAUAUGUUCGGAACCAGAAUACCAGAUAAUACUUUAUGACACGCCAGGCGUCAUUAAGAAGGAAAUGCACAAGCUAGACUCGAUGAUGAUGAAGAAUGUCCAGAGCGCUAUUGGCAAUGCGGACUGUGUGAUUGUCGUCGCUGAUGCUUCCAAACUGCCCGAAAAGAUAGAUGAUAUGCUGGAAGCGGGUGUGGGAAACAAAGAUACCAAGGUCCCUGUUGUGUUGGUACUCAACAAGAAAGAUAUGAUAAAACCCGGAGAAAUCGCAAAGAAACUCGAGUGGUACCAAAAAUUCACUGAUGUUGACGAUGUUAUACCUAUAAGUGCUAAAUUUGGUCAUGGAGUGGUUGAUAUCAAGGAGUGGAUAUUGUCAAAGCUUCCACUAGGUCCUGCCUACUACCCCAAGGUAUCAUUAUGGAAGAUGCAAAAUUUUCUGAAGCAGUUAGUACUAUGGAUGGACAGCCAUUUUCUUUAUCAUGUAGAUCUAGCAAAUCAAGUAGAAAUGUGCAAUGCAAUUUAG